AAUGGAAAGCCCGGUACAAGCGAGGUACCAGUAUGGUAGGAAAAACCGCCAUGCAAUGGGAAGACGUGAUGUGGAGUGAAAUAUAGUAACGAAGCCCGUGAGCCAUGCGUCAAGAAAAGCCGCUAUUGUUUAUAUUGUACCCGUACCGUAAACCGACACAGGUGGAUGAGGAGAGAAUCCUAAGGCCGGCGGAAGAAGUAUUGCCAAGGAACUCGGCAAAAUGGCCCCGUAACUUAGGGAGAAGGGGUGCCUGCGAGAGCAGGCCGCAGAGAAUAGGCUCAAGCAACUGUUUAGCAAAAACACAGGUCUAUGCGAAACCGAAAGGUGAGGUAUAUGGGCUGACGCCUGCCCGGUGCUGGAAGGUUAAGAGGAGAGGUUAGACGCAAGUCGAAGCUUUGAAUUUAAGCCCCAGUAAACGGCGGCCGUAACUAUAACGGUCCUAAGGUAGCGAAAUUCCUUGUCGGGUAAGUUCCGACCCGCACGAAAGGCGUAAUGAUUUGAGCGCUGUCUCGGCAAUACAUCCGGUGAAAUUGAAGUGCCAGUGAAGAUGCUGGCUACCCGCGCCAGGACGGAAAGACCCCAUGGAGCUUUACUCCAGUUUGGCACUGGGGUCCGGUGUUGCAUGUACAGGAUAGGUGGGAGGCUGAGAGAUAGUGACGUCAGUUGCUAUGGAGCCGCUGUUGGGAUACCACCCUCGUGAUAUUGGGCUUCUAACCAGCCGCCGUGAACCGGCGGUGGGACAAUGCCAGGCGGGGAGUUUGACUGGGGCGGUCGCCUCCGAAAGGGUAUCGGAGGCGCCCAAAGGUUCCCUCAGAAUGGACGGAAACCAUUCGAAGAGUGCAAAGGCAGAAGGGAGCUUGACUGCGACACCGACGGGUGGAGCAGGUACGAAAGUAGGGCUUAGUGAUCCGGUGGUAUUAAGUGGGAAUGCCAUCGCUCAACGGAUAAAAGCUACCCUGGGAUAACAGGCUUAUCACUCCCAAGAGUUCACAUCGACGGAGUGGUUUGGCACCUCGAUGUCGGCUCAUCGCAUCCUGGGGCUGUAGUAGGUCCCAAGGGUUGGGCUGUUCGCCCAUUAAAGCGGUACGCGAGCUGGGUUCAGAACGUCGUGAGACAGUUCGGUCCCUAUCCGGCGUGGGCGUAGGAUAUCUGAGAGGAGCUGUCCUUAGUACGAGAGGACCGGGAUGGACGGACCGCUGGUGGACCGGUUGGCUUGCCAAAGCCAUGGCCGGGUAGCCAAGUCCGGAAGGGAUAAACGCUGAAGGCAUCUAAGCGUGAAGCCCCCCUCAAGAUGAGAUAUCCCAUUCUUUAAGAAGUAAACCCCCUUGAAGACGACGAGGUAGAUAGGGCAGAGGUGGAAGUGUGGUAACACAUGGAGCUGACUGUUACUAAUCGGGUGAGGGCUUGACC
This 1410-nucleotide ribosomal RNA is filed under the name metagenome. RNAcentral describes it as "bacterial LSU rRNA". It matches the Rfam family "Bacterial large subunit ribosomal RNA", at positions 1497 to 2925 of the family's 2925-position model. The record is from RNAcentral.